GAUUAAUUUAAAUUAAUUUCCUAAGUACUAAAGCUAUAAAGCUAAAACUUAAUGGUCAUGGCGGCUAGAAGUACUCAGGGGAACUUACCUAUUAAACGAUAACCCACGAGUUAGUUAACUUUACUUUAAAGCUUGUAUACCGCCGAUUAGUAUUGAAUUAAGUUUAAUACAAGUUCUAUAUAGAAUAGCUCAGGUUAUGGUGCAGCAUAUAGUAAUGGAUUGGCGAGUUACAAUAAAUUCUUUUUUCGGAAUAUUAAUUUGAAAUAAUUAAUUAAAGAUGGACUUGAAAGUAAAAAUUAAAACAAAUAUAAUUUGAAUAAAUAGCUACUAGUGC
Molecule: ribosomal RNA, 334 nt
Filed under: Siphonaria sp. UF 351976
Lineage: Eukaryota; Metazoa; Mollusca; Gastropoda; Siphonariida; Siphonariidae
Description: partial 12S ribosomal RNA
Source: RNAcentral